UCGGGAAAGGUGAAGGGUCUGUGCGCAAUCCGAAAGAGGGGAGGUUCUGAUGGAUCGGCAGCGCUUUGGACCAAUGAAAGUCGGCAACAGCUUCUGUCCGUCGGCGAUGUAAGCGAGAAGAGAGGGUGAAAAGUUAGGCGGAGCUUAAGGUGACUGGCAGAUGGAUGGACAAUUUGUGUUUUGUCCAAUCAGCACUUCACACACAGAGAUACGGGAGACGGAGGCGGGAUUUGGCGUGUAUGUGGAAGAGUGAGUACAACGAGAGGAAUAGUAAUCAUGCUAAGGCACCUAUUGCUAUAGCCCAGUAAAACAGCGGAAGAUGCCAAAGGAAGAUGUCUUCAAGGAAAAGAAGGGAAGGAAUGUGAUGGAGGAAACCUGUCAAUCAAGAAGGGAAUGCUUUAGGGAAUGUGAGCUUCCUGCCUCAAAAUUUUGAAAUGGAAAAGGAAAGCUUAUGAUCAGAAAGUGACCUGUUGUGUUUGUGGAAGCUCUGGAAUCCCACAGGAGAAGGAUCACUCAACACCAUGGCAAUCUGCCAAGUACAACUUGUUCUGAAACAUAGUGGCUCUGAGAAGAUGCAUUAUCAUCUGAAACACAAUGUCAUCAUAGUGGGAGGAACAGGACAUGAACUGGCCUUCCACCCUGCUCACCUGAUUGUUUUCUGUGAGGAGUCCAGCUACCAAAAUAUAUGUGUCCUGCCCUUUGCUGCCUCCCGGGUUUGCUGUUCCAUGUUUUGGCAUCCAUGCAGCUGGCAUUUGAACUACACUGUAGCCCUCAGGGGAAGAAGUGACAGAUUUUGUUUAGGAUCAGCAGCUCUUUUUAAAAGAUAAAUUGCUAUUUCUUUUGUUUUGAGAGGUUAAAUUUUGAAACUGUCAAUUUUGAUUGUGUGGCUUUAAAUAAUUGAGUAUUAUAUAUAACAGGAUCUGAUCCUGCAAAUCCAUACUAGUGUGAGUAGUUACCAGGGGCAGCUCCAGGCACCAGCACGCCAAGCACG
Molecule: long non-coding RNA, 991 nt
Organism: Mauremys mutica (yellowpond turtle)
Lineage: Eukaryota; Metazoa; Chordata; Testudines; Geoemydidae
Exons: 6
Source: RefSeq, a predicted model, not a curated record